GGUCCCAUAGCUCAGUUGGUUAGAGCGUCGUACUAAUACUAUAUCAUUAUAGCAUUGGUCAAUGCGAAGGCCGUGAGUUCGAGCCUCACUGGGACCA
Molecule: transfer RNA, 97 nt
Filed under: Xylaria digitata
Lineage: Eukaryota; Fungi; Ascomycota; Sordariomycetes; Xylariales; Xylariaceae
Description: tRNA-Ile
Rfam family: tRNA
About the family: Transfer RNA (tRNA) molecules are approximately 80 nucleotides in length. Their secondary structure includes four short double-helical elements and three loops (D, anti-codon, and T loops).
Source: RNAcentral